RNAcentral lists this long non-coding RNA (217 nucleotides) under Capsicum annuum. RNAcentral describes it as "long non-coding RNA (CANN_LNC015819)". The record is from RNAcentral. Lineage: Eukaryota; Viridiplantae; Streptophyta; Magnoliopsida; Solanales; Solanaceae.
AAGAAACAUACUCAAAAACUAAUUUACAAUCUAGUAGAGGAGUACUAGCUUGUCUAGUAGUUAUUAGAGUUAACAAACAAAACUAAGAAACAAUAAAAUGAAACUAAAAAAUCUAAAAUGAUACAAGAAAAACCAUAGAACUCACGAAACGGUCUCAAAAUAGUCCACAAAUGAAGGAGAACCCAAGAGCAUAAAGAAACCAAGUCUCGGCUUCAAC